AUUGAACGCUGGCGGCAUGCUUUACACAUGCAAGUCGAACGGCAGCGGGGGCUUCGGCCCGCCGGCGAGUGGCGAACGGGUGAGUAAUGCAUCGGAACGUGCCCAGUCAUGGGGGAUAACUACGCGAAAGCGUAGCUAAUACCGCAUACGCCCUGAGGGGGAAAGUGGGGGAUCUUCGGACCUCACGUGAUUGGAGCGGCCGAUGUCAGAUUAGCUAGUUGGUGAGGUAAAGGCUCACCAAGGCGACGAUCUGUAGCGGGUCUGAGAGGAUGAUCCGCCACACUGGGACUGAGACACGGCCCAGACUCCUACGGGAGGCAGCAGUGGGGAAUUUUGGACAAUGGGCGCAAGCCUGAUCCAGCCAUGCCGCGUGAGUGAAGAAGG
Molecule: ribosomal RNA, 384 nt
Filed under: uncultured bacterium
Lineage: Bacteria
Description: bacterial SSU rRNA
Rfam family: Bacterial small subunit ribosomal RNA
Source: RNAcentral